GACUAUUACAUGUAUCUAUGCUAUUACAGAGGAUUACGUGUAAUUGGCAAAUUGAUCAAAUUAUAACUAGUUACUAUAAUUACCGUAUAAAUAUCUCCGUGUCUGUUAAUUAUCAUCGAACGGAGGCAGGAUCGAUCAGUUUCGCUUAAGAUCGCAUUUGGGUCAGUUAAUGGUAACUGGCUACCAAAGCAGCGUACAUACAUCGAGAGAAGUUGAAGCUGUGGGCGCCACGGCCGCGAUUAUGUACUUAUAGCUGAUCCGUCAGCCUUACACGACAACCUCCCACAAAAAUAUACACAAAUUGCUGUUCGGCAGGGUACGGAAACCUCCGAGGAUUGGUCACCGCGCCUCGCCUCGCCUCCUUUUUAUCGAUCUUCCCACGUGCCAGCCGGUACCCUGUAAAAGUGAAGCUAAACCUCCGUACCGGGUGUCCGACGAAGGAUCGAGUCACCUGGACGGUUCCACCCCCGCACAAGGACUCCUGAAUUACGCACUACUUCGCCUGGCAGUCUAUGCCACCCGAAGAAACCAUCAUAAUUGUAUCCGAGGUGCAGCGCGUUGUUUAUAAAAUAGACCGGAAGUAGAGGAAGAACCGCUGCUGUAUUCCGAAUCCCCAGAAUCACAAAAGUCUGAUUGAAUGCACCUAUACCUAUAGUUUCGCCUCGUUAUUUCUUACCUCGUUAACGAAGGGAUUCCAAUUCUUUUGAAAACGAAGCGUGAUAUUUCUUCCAGAAAAUAUUCGACGUCUCUCAAAAUUAUUAAUUGUAAUAUUGUCGAGUUUCCCGACAUAUCUCAUGCAUAAAAGCACCAAGAACGAAUAUAUUACCUAUUUCAACUCUGAAUUUCUCCAUUUGCCCUGCCCGCGCAAGGUGACUCACCCUCGUUUGCAUACCUGUUUUUGGCUAUCGUGAAACUUUAUUUGGUUAUCGUAAUUCGGAAGACCGCGAAUCACGCGACCCGCAGAAUACAUACAUAUACCUACAGAUACAGUGUAGUAAAACUUCAUUCCGCAUUCACGGAUCCCGCUGUUGAUUCUCCACAAUUUAACAAUUAAUAUUGUUUACGGGCAUACGUGCGAAUCCGUAGGCGGUUGUGGGUAGAAUUAUACGUAGAGAAGACCCAAGUUUUUCAGAAUCAACUCAUAUACAGCCACAGAAGCGGUUCACCAUCCCGUGAAAAUACUGAGGUCUACUGACCCGACCGCAUUUCCCUUUUGUAAUAUCCUCGAUCUUCUGAGUUUUUUCUUUUUUUAAUAUUUUUCGCUUUCCCCAAUUCAAAGUGUGUUUGUCGCACCGGUUCA
Molecule: unclassified non-coding RNA, 1300 nt
Filed under: Athalia rosae (coleseed sawfly)
Lineage: Eukaryota; Metazoa; Arthropoda; Insecta; Hymenoptera; Athaliidae
Description: misc RNA ENSAEAG00005004141.1
Source: RNAcentral